This is a non-coding RNA of Glycine soja, 502 nucleotides long. Lineage: Eukaryota; Viridiplantae; Streptophyta; Magnoliopsida; Fabales; Fabaceae. The record is from Rfam.
GUUUGUGAAGAAGAUGCAAACCACCUGCACCUAGACAUAAAGACCCUAUGAAGCUUCACUGUUUCCUGGAAUUAGCUUUGAACUGUGCAACUUAGGUGGAGGAAAAGAAGGCCUUCUUCUAGGGGUGUAAAAUCACCAGUGAGAUACCAUUUUGGAAGAGUUAAAAUUUUAAUUAACCUUGUGUCAGGACCUAUCGGUCGAGGGACAAUCUCAGGUAGAUAGUUUUUAUGGGGCAUAGGCCUCCCAAAAGAUAACAAAAACGUGUAAAGGUUUCCUCAAGUCAAACGGAGAUUAGCCCUUAGUGCAAAGGCAGAAAGGAGCUUGAUUGUAAGACUCAUCCAUUGAGCAGCGACAAAAAUUGAUCUUUGUGAUUCGACGGUAUCGAAUAGAAGGAUUGUCGCUCAACAAAUAAAAAUUAAUUUAGUUAUAAUAGAGUGAUCUUUCCCAAAUGCUCACAUUAAUGGAAAGGUUUGACACCUUGAUGUUUGUUGUUCGGCAUAUG